Molecule: RNA transcript, 834 nt
Organism: Octodon degus (degu)
Lineage: Eukaryota; Metazoa; Chordata; Mammalia; Rodentia; Octodontidae
Gene name: splicing factor U2AF 35 kDa subunit pseudogene
Exons: 1
Source: RefSeq, a predicted model, not a curated record
GCGACCGCAGCUGUGGGAAAUGGCGGAGUAUUUGGCCUCCAUCUUCGGCACCGAAAAAGACAAAGUCAACUGCUCAUUUUAUUUCAAAAUUGGAGCAUGUCGUCAUGGAGACAGAUGCUCUCGGUUGCACAAUAAACCGACCUUUAGCCAGACCAUUGCCCUCUUGAACAUUUACCGUAACCCUCAAAACUCUUCCCAGUCUGCUGACGGUUUGCGCUGUGCUGUGAGCGAUGUGGAGAUGCAGGAGCACUAUGAUGAGUUCUUUGAGGAGGUCUUCACAGAGAUGGAGGAGAAGUACGGGGAAGUGGAGGAGAUGAACGUCUGUGACAACCUGGGAGACCACCUUGUGGGGAAUGUGUAUGUCAAGUUUCGCCGUGAGGAGGAUGCAGAGAAGGCUGUGAUUGACCUGAAGAACCGCUGGUUUAACGGACAGCCAAUCCAUGCUGAGCUCUCGCCCGUGACCGACUUCAGGGAAGCUUGCUGCCGUCAGUAUGAGAUGGGGGAGUGCACACGAGGAGGCUUCUGCAACUUCACGCACCUGAAGCCGAUUUCCAGAGAGCUGCGGCAAGAGCUAUACGGGCGACGCCGCAAGAAGCGUAGGUCAAGGUCCCGGUCCCGGGAGCGGCGCUCUCGGUCUAGAGACCGCGGUCGUGGUGGAGGCGGCGGUGGUGGAGGUGGCGGAGGUCGGGAGCGAGACCGGAGGAGGUCGAGAGAUCGGGAAAGAUCGGGGCGAUUCUGAGCCAUGCCAUUUUUACCGUAUGUCUGCUAGAAAGUGUUGUAGUUGAUUGACCAAACCAGUUCAUAAAAUGGGAAUUUUUUUUAAAAAAACAACAA